AAACGAUUCAAGUCAGACGCGUCGCCCAGUAAUCAACCUCGGCUCUUUCGCAGAGGCUCACUUUCUGGGUUCGACGGGUCAGCAUCAAUUUCAACCGUCAGAUAAAGUCAAGAGGAAUGUGGCAUCUUCGGAUGUGUUUAUAGCCUCCUGUUCGCAUGUGGCGGUUGGGAUUGAGGACGUCGACACGAUCCCGCAAGGGAUUUUCGGGACCACUCGUGGUCCACGUAAACGUGUCUCGGAUGCUGGCAUAAUGGCUUGAACCGA
RNAcentral lists this ribosomal RNA (264 nucleotides) under Agaricales sp. Its description in RNAcentral is "partial large subunit ribosomal RNA". The record is from RNAcentral. Lineage: Eukaryota; Fungi; Basidiomycota; Agaricomycetes; Agaricales.